AUAUGUGGAUAUACCUCUUUGAAAAUGUCUGACCUCACAUCAUCUCAGAAGCUAAGUAAGAUCAGGCAUAGAUAACGUUGACAGAAGAUUGCCUGGGAAUAUUUGAUAUUGCAUCUG
This 117-nucleotide ribosomal RNA is filed under the name Notamacropus eugenii (tammar wallaby). Lineage: Eukaryota; Metazoa; Chordata; Mammalia; Diprotodontia; Macropodidae. The record is from RNAcentral.